Molecule: ribosomal RNA, 253 nt
Filed under: uncultured bacterium
Lineage: Bacteria
Description: partial 16S ribosomal RNA
Rfam family: Bacterial small subunit ribosomal RNA
Source: RNAcentral
AACGUAGGACACAAGCGUUAUCCGGAGUUACUGGGCGUAAAGCGCGUGUAGGCGGCUUCGCAAGUCGGAUGUGAAAUCCCACGGCUCAACCGUGGAAGUGCAUUCGAAACUGCAAGGCUAGAGUCCUGGAGAGGAAGGUGGAAUGCUUGGUGUAGAGGUGAAAUUCGUAGAUAUCAAGCGGAACACCGGUGGCGAAGGCGGCCUUCUGGACAGUGACUGACGCUGAGACGCGAAAGCGUGGGGAGCAAACAGG